GCAGAAGGAUCAUUAGUGAAGAUUUGGGCAGGCCAUACGGACGCCAAAAAGUGUCCCUGGCCGCCUGCACCCACUAUACAUCCACAAACCCGUGUGCACUGUCUUGGAGAAAGGCUUCAGAGAAGUUUUUUGUGGCCUCUCUUGGGGUCUUUCUUCGCUACAAACUCGAAUGGUUAGUAUGAACGUGGAACUUGGUUGGACCGUCACUGGCCAACAAACUAUACACAACUUUCGACAACGGAUCUCUUGGUUCUCCCA
Molecule: unclassified non-coding RNA, 258 nt
Filed under: uncultured fungus
Lineage: Eukaryota; Fungi
Description: partial contains 18S rRNA, ITS1, 5.8S rRNA
Source: RNAcentral